CAAAAUAAUAUAAUUUACAAUACUAAUUAAUCUUAUCACAAAAUAAUUAGCUACUAAUUACUUUACUAUAUAUAGAAUCACUAUAUAAUUAAAUCCUAAAUUUAAUGCAUAUUAUCUGCCAAAAUAGC
RNAcentral lists this transfer RNA (128 nucleotides) under Bottapotamon lingchuanense. Its description in RNAcentral is "tRNA-Leu". Lineage: Eukaryota; Metazoa; Arthropoda; Malacostraca; Decapoda; Potamidae. The record is from RNAcentral.